Molecule: long non-coding RNA, 4179 nt
Filed under: Taeniopygia guttata (zebra finch)
Lineage: Eukaryota; Metazoa; Chordata; Aves; Passeriformes; Estrildidae
Description: lncRNA (ENSTGUG00000028967.1)
Source: RNAcentral
CAUCAUCAUCAUCAUCAUCCCCAGCAUCCAUCCCCUUCCCCGGGGAAACGCGCGGCCGCUGCCCCGAAAUCCCCGGGUCACCCCAAAAUCCUGCCCCGGGCACGGGGAGCGACGCCGGAGCCAAAGGAGACCUGGAAAAUCGCGUUGUUCCUAUGCUUUAAUUGGGAAUUAUCAGGGUUUGAGGCCGGUUUCAGAGCCUUGGGAUAUUGCAGCACUUGGAUUUGAUACUGGGAAUAGGAAAUUUCCAGCUCUGAGGAAAUAUCAGGGCUUGGAGCUGAUUUAAAAACCUUGGGGAGCUGCAGAACACGGAUGGUUUUAUUGAAGAUUUAUCAGUUUGAGGCCGAUUUCAGAGCCUUGGGAUAUUGCAGCAGCUGGAUUUGAUACUGGGAAUAGGAAAUUUCCAGCCCUGAGGAAAUAUCAGGGCUUGGAGCUGACUUAAAAACCUUGGGGAGCUGCAGAACACGGAUGGUUUUAUUGAGGAAUUAUCAGGGUUUGAAGGUGAUUUUAAAAUCUCAGAAAACUGCAGAACACCAAUGGUUUUAUUGAAGAUUUAUCAGGAUUUGGGGCUAAUUUCAGAGCCUUGGGAUAUUGCAGCACUUGGAUUUUAUCCUGAGGAAAUAUCAGGGCUUGAGGCUGAUUUUAAAAUCCUGGGAAAUUGCAGCAGCUGGAGGAUUUUAUUGAGGAAUUUUCAGGGUUUGAGGCUGACCUGAAGAUCCUGGAAUAUCACAGCGUUUGGAUUUUGCACUGAAGGGAUAUCAAGGCUCGGAUAAUGUUGGAAAAUUGCAGUACCUUGGUGGUUUCUUGGAGAAAUACCGAACAGAAUGAGGAGUUGUGUUUGCAGAAACAGAGAUCCCAGCUGCACAUCAAGCAAGAGCAUGGAUUAUUUACGAGGUUUUAAUUCCUCAUGGAAGUCAUCAGGGCUGAAGCCUCCCAGCCCUUUAAUGGAUUUUCAGCAGCCCAGGGUAAAAUUUCUCUCAGCCUCAAGGCAGGAGCUGCAUCGAGCUCCUCAGAGCUUUGGUUGUUCUUCAUCCACGGUGGGAAUAACACCCAGGCCCUGUGCCAGCCCAGAAAUCAUUCAAUGGCAUGAGUUUUGCUCAGAAAUCAUUCAUGGGAUGAGUUUUGCUCAGAAAUCAUUCAUGGGAUGAGUUUUGCUCAGAAAUCAUUGCUCAAUAAUCAUUCCUGGGAUGAGUUUUGUUCAGAAAUCAUUGCCCAGAAAUCAUUCAUGGGAUGAGUUUUGCCCAGAAAUCAUUCAUGGGAUGAGUUUUGCUCAGAAAUCAUUGUUCAGAAAUCAUUCAUGGGAUGAGUUUUGCUUAAUAAUCAUUCACAGGAUGAGUUUUGCCCAGAAAUCAUUCACAGGAUGAUUUUUUCUCAGAAAUCAUUGCUCAAUAAUCAUUCCUGGGAUGAGUUUUGCUUAGAAAUCAUUGCCCAGAAAUCAUUCACAGGAUGAGUUUUGUCCAGAAAUCGUUAAUGGGAUGAGUUUUGCUCAGAAAUCAUUCACAGGAUGAGUUUUGUCCAGAAAUCAUUGCUCAAUAAUCAUUCACAGGAUGAAUUUUGCUCAGAAAUCAUUCACAGGAUGAGUUUUGCUCAGAAAUCAUUGCCCAGAAAUCAUUCACAGGAUGAGUUUUGCUCAAUAAUCAUUCACAGGAUGAGUUUUGCUCAGAAAUCGUUCACGGGGUGAGUUUUGCUCAGAAAAAUGUUGAUUGUGGUUUUGGGGAGGGAGGAAAGUUCAGCUCCUCCAUCGCCUCCCAUUGAUUUUGUGUUGCUCGAGGUCAUUGGAAAUGCUUUUGUUCACCCAGCUCUGGCUUUGCAAAGGCAGGGUGAGUAUUUAACCCACUGGGGUUAAAAUCUUCAUUUAUUUGGGUUAAAAAUGUUCAGCCAUUGGGGUUUAAAAUAUUCACCCACUGGGAUUAAAAAUGUUCCUUUAUUGGGGUCUAAAGUGUUCACCCAUUGGGGUUUAAAAUGUUCAUUCAUUUGGGUUAAAAAUAUUCAUCCAUUGGUGUUAAAAAUUUUGAUUUAUUGGUGUUAAAAAUGUUCAUUUAUUGGGGUUAAAAAUGUUCAUUUAUUGGCGUUAAUAUGUUCAUCCAUGGGGUUAUGAUUAUUUCAGGGUCAAAAUCUUUAUCCAGGGGGAUUAUAAUUAUUUUAGGGUUAGAAAUCUUUAUGCAUAGGGUUUCAUCUAUGAGGUUAUAAUUAUUUUAGGGUUAGAAAUCCUUAUCCAUUGGGGUUAACAAUGUCCAUCCGUGGGGUUAUAAUUAUUUCAGGGUUAAAAUCUUUAUCCAGGGGGUUAAAAAUGUCCCUGGAGCUGCUCCAAUCUGCUUAGGGCCGUGCUGAGCCCCGGCCCCAGGUAAGCUCCUUACCCUGCUGCCAUCCCAGCCAUGGACCCAGCCUGGCCACACAGCCCCAAAAAAUGCCUUUGGUCCCUCCCGGGCACCACCAGGGUGCUGGAGGUAAAAUAACAGCUUUUAUUUUAAAAAAAAUAACAUUAAAAUGCUCCUUUAGGGGAAAAAAAAUGAAUUAGGGACAAAGAUUGGUGAUAAAAGUGCUUGGAAGUGGGGGAAAAAAUCAAAUUUUUGAGGCUUUUUAAAAUUCUGAACAACUCCCUACCACAGCUGCUUUGUGCCUCAUCUUCCUGAGCUGUUUUUAGGGGAUGAUGAGGAAAACGGAUGGAAGAGGUCACGGAUCCUUUUUGUGGAGAAGAAAAGGAGGUGUUCAAGGAAAAAUGGGGAGAAAAAUCGGGGGAAAUGGAAGAAGAAUGGGGAAAUUGAAUGCUGUCACAAUUGCAGGAAUGAGCUGAUCCUGGCUGGGCUUUUCCUGCAUUUCUCCUCCGCUCCAGGAAUAGAGAACAAUUUGAGCCUUGAAAUAGGAAAUUUAGAAACAAUUUGGGCCCUGAAAUGGGAAAUUUAUCAACAAUUUGUGCCCUGAAACAGGAGCUGGGCAGCAGCACCUGGGCUGGGCAGAGCUGCCAGAGCUGCAGCCCUCUGAAUUAUUGAUUAUUUAUGGAUUAUAGACACUUCCCGGGGCAGCAGCGGCGAGGUGAGGUGUGCCAGGGGCUGAAUUCCAAGGGGGGCUGGAGAUGGGGAGUGGGUUAAUCAACGCCAGUUAAUUAAGUGAUUAAAAGGCAAAGAGCACAGUGUCAGGUAAAGUGAGAUAGGGAAAAGAAAAUCACAGAUCCAGAUAAAGUGAGAUAGAGAAAAAAUAUCAAAGAUCACAGCUCCAGAUAAAGUGAGAUAGGGAAAAGAAAAAUCACAGAUACAGAUAAAAUGAGAUAGAGAAAAGAAAAUCACAGAACACAGCUCCAGAUGAAGUGAGAUAGAAAAACCCCUCAGAUGGUUUCCAUGUGGGCUGAGGACAUCCCUGGGGAUGAGGCCUCCUGCAGAAAUCUUUUUGGGGUUUCUACUCCAAAUCCCUUUGGAAAAAAACCUUCCCAAUGCUGACAUCUGCUGAAGAACUGCUUAAAACCCCGGGCAGCAAAAACCUAAAUAAUGUAUAAACCAGGUGUUUUUACUACUGGUGGCUGUGGGUAGGAAAAGCCUAUCAUAGAAUUAAAAAACCCUAUAAAUAAUGCAUAAAAAUGGGGCAUUUCUCUCUCGGCUGGCAGACAGAGAGCAUUGAUGGGGAGGGAAAUCAUCAUUUGGUGCAUCUGCAAACCCCCGGAUGGAUUUGGUGAAUAAUUUCCUGGUUGGACAAAGCCCUGCCAAACCAGGGGUGAAGGAUCUGAAUGAAAAGCAGGAAUUUCAUACAAAAAAAAGUCACAGACGGGGAGAUAACGGGCUGGGAUUCCUUGGGAUGUUGGGCAGAGCCCUCUGCCCACGCCAGGGGAUGGAUCAAGGGGAUUUUUAGUGUCCCUUACAACCCAAACCAUCCCGUGGUUGUACCCACAGCAAACCCCACCUUCACCUGCAGCUUCAGCCCGCAGCCCCCAGCUCUAAUUAAGCUCUAAUUAACAGCACCUCGAGGCCAGGAGGGGUCUCACCCCUGCAGUGGGGUUAUUAAGGGAGUGGAGAUGGGGCUGCCAUGGGGUUUGGGCCAUUCGUGUCCCUGUCACCCCCUCACCCCAAAACCCCUCAGCCAUGGCUCCCCUCACCCCAAAACCCCUCAGCUGUGGCUCCCCUCACCCCAAAACCCCUCAGCCAUGGCUCCCCUCACCCAAAACCCCUCAGCUGUGGCUCCCCUCACCCCAAA